GAUCAUGGCUCAGGAUGAACGCUGGCGGCGUGCCUAAUACAUGCAAGUCGAACGCUUCACUUCGGUGAAGAGUGGCGAACGGGUGAGUAGUACAUAAGUAACCUGGCAUCUACAGGGGGAUAACUGAUGGAAACGUCAGCUAAGACCGCAUAGGUGUAGAGAUCGCAUGAACUCUAUAUGAAAAGUGCUACGGGACUGGUAGAUUAUGGACUUAUGGCGCAUUAG
RNAcentral lists this ribosomal RNA (225 nucleotides) under uncultured bacterium. RNAcentral describes it as "partial 16S ribosomal RNA". It matches the Rfam family "Bacterial small subunit ribosomal RNA", at positions 15 to 244 of the family's 1533-position model. The record is from RNAcentral.